RNAcentral lists this ribosomal RNA (245 nucleotides) under uncultured Gemmata sp. Its description in RNAcentral is "partial 16S ribosomal RNA". It matches the Rfam family "Bacterial small subunit ribosomal RNA", at positions 524 to 768 of the family's 1533-position model. Lineage: Bacteria; Pseudomonadati; Planctomycetota; Planctomycetia; Gemmatales; Gemmataceae. The record is from RNAcentral.
GACGAACCGUGCAAACGUUGUUCGGACUCACUGGGCUUAAAGGGCGCGUAGGCGGCUUGCCAAGUCAGGGGUGAAAUCUUUCGGCUCAACCGGAAAAGUGCUUCUGAUACUGGCGGGCUGGAGGGAGGUAGGGGCAGAUGGAACUUCCGGUGGAGCGGUGAAAUGCGUAGAUAUCGGAAGGAACGCCGGUGGCGAAAGCGAUCUGCUGGACCUCUUCUGACGCUGAGGCGCGAAAGCAUGGGGAG